This 497-nucleotide ribosomal RNA is filed under the name uncultured bacterium. Its description in RNAcentral is "partial 16S ribosomal RNA". It matches the Rfam family "Bacterial small subunit ribosomal RNA", at positions 28 to 507 of the family's 1533-position model. The record is from RNAcentral.
GAUGAACGCUGGCGGCGUGCCUAAUACAUGCAAGUCGAGCGAACAGACGAGGAGCUUGCUCCCCUGACGUUAGCGGCGGACGGGUGAGUAACACGUGGAUAACCUACCUAUAAGACUGGGAUAACUUCGGGAAACCGGAGCUAAUACCGGAUAACAUGUUGAACCGCAUGGUUCAACAGUGAAAGACGGUCUUGCUGUCACUUAUAGAUGGAUCCGCGCCGCAUUAGCUAGUUGGUAAGGUAACGGCUUACCAAGGCAACGAUGCGUAGCCGACCUGAGAGGGUGAUCGGCCACACUGGAACUGAGACACGGUCCAGACUCCUACGGGAGGCAGCAGUGGGGAAUCUUCCGCAAUGGGCGAAAGCCUGACGGAGCAACGCCGCGUGAGUGAAGAAGGUCUUCGGAUCGUAAAACUCUGUUAUUAGGGAAGAACAAAUGUGUAAGUAACUAUGCACGUCUUGACGGUACCUAAUCAGAAAGCCACGGCUAACUACGUG